Molecule: ribosomal RNA, 377 nt
Filed under: uncultured bacterium
Lineage: Bacteria
Description: bacterial SSU rRNA
Rfam family: Bacterial small subunit ribosomal RNA
Source: RNAcentral
UACGAAGGGUGCAAGCGUUGUUCGGAAUUAUUGGGCGUAAAGCGCGCGCAGGCGGAUCAGCAAGUCAGAUGUGAAAUCUCGGGGCUUAACCCCGAAACUGCGUCUGAAACUACUAAUCUAGAAUAUCGGAGAGGAAGAUGGAAUUUCGCAUGUAGGGGUAAAAUCCGUAGAGAUGCGAAGGAACACCAGAGGCGAAAGCGAUUUUCUGGACGAUUAUUGACGCUGAGGCGCGAAAGCGUGGGGAGCAAACAGGAUUAGAUACCCUGGUAGUCCACGCCGUAAACUAUGAGUACUAGAUAUGGGGGGAGUUUGACCCCUUCCGCAUCGUAGCAAACGCAUUAAGUACUCCGCCUGGGAAUUACGGUCGCAAGACUAAA